This 87-nucleotide transfer RNA is filed under the name Caudoviricetes sp. Its description in RNAcentral is "tRNA-Leu". It matches the Rfam family "tRNA". From Rfam's summary of the family: Transfer RNA (tRNA) molecules are approximately 80 nucleotides in length. Their secondary structure includes four short double-helical elements and three loops (D, anti-codon, and T loops). Lineage: Duplodnaviria; Heunggongvirae; Uroviricota; Caudoviricetes. The record is from RNAcentral.
GCAGAUAUGGCGGAAUUGGCAGACGCAAUGGACUUAAAAUCCAUUGAUAGAAAUAUCGUACGGGUUCAAGUCCCGUUAUCUGCACCA